GAUGAACGCUGGCGGCGUGCUUAACACAUGCAAGUCGAACGGACUUUUAAUGAAGCCUAGCGAUUUAAAAGUUAGUGGCGGACGGGUGAGUAACGCGUGGGUAACCUGCCGUAUACAGGGGGAUAACAGUUAGAAAUAGCUGCUAAUACCGCAUAAGCGCACAGCUUCGCAUGAAGCAGUGUGAAAAACUCCGGUGGUAUACGAUGGACCCGCGUCUGAUUAGCUAGUUGGUGGGGUAACGGCCUACCAAGUCGACGAUCGGUAGCCGAACUGAGAGGUUGAUCGGCCGCAUUGGGACUGAGACACGGCCCAGACUCCUACGGGAGGCAGCAGUGGGGGAUAUUGCACAAUGGAGGGAACUCUGAUGCAGCAACGCCGCGUGAGGGAAGAAGGUCUUCGGAUUGUAAACCUAAGUUAUCAGGGACGAUUAUGACGGUACCUGAAGAGAAAGCUCCGGCUAACUACGUG
RNAcentral lists this ribosomal RNA (468 nucleotides) under uncultured bacterium. RNAcentral describes it as "bacterial SSU rRNA". It matches the Rfam family "Bacterial small subunit ribosomal RNA", at positions 28 to 507 of the family's 1533-position model. The record is from RNAcentral.